GCAAGCCAGGAAGGAAGGAGGAGGCAGUCAGAGUGGCCACCACUGUUCUCUGCAGCAGAAGACCCCAUGCUGCCAGAUUAAGCCUUGAGGACUAGAACGACAUGAUUAAAUCAGUCUCAGAAGAUAAGCCUCACAGCCAUAGUCCAUAAUCUCUGUUUUAGUCACAAGACUUCAUUGAUAUCCAGGAAUCAUCCCUACGAAGCGUUGCUGUGUUAAGCAGUUAGUGUAACAUCAAGGAAACUCACUAGGGGCUGUGCCUUCCAGAACUUCGUGGUUUUACCCCAUCCAUUUCAAUUGCACUAUUUGAAUGUAUCACUUUUCUGAGCUAACACUUCUUGCAAGCAAGUCUGUUCUAACAAAUUCCCCAUAUAAGUGAUUUAUUUUGCUAAUUCCCUAAUCAGAUUGUACCUUUUGAUUGUUUUCUAAUAAAUGUUAAAUUUUUUGCAUUGCAA
Hemicordylus capensis (graceful crag lizard) is the source of this 452-nucleotide long non-coding RNA. RefSeq lists it as uncharacterized. The record is from RefSeq and is a predicted model, not a curated record. The transcript is spliced from 3 exons. NCBI's taxonomy places the organism in Eukaryota, Metazoa, Chordata, Lepidosauria, Squamata, Cordylidae.